RNAcentral lists this ribosomal RNA (492 nucleotides) under uncultured bacterium. RNAcentral describes it as "partial 16S ribosomal RNA". It matches the Rfam family "Bacterial small subunit ribosomal RNA", at positions 29 to 507 of the family's 1533-position model. The record is from RNAcentral.
AGUGAACGCUGGCGGUAGGCCUAACACAUGCAAGUCGAACGGCAGCACAGUAAGAGCUUGCUCUUACGGGUGGCGAGUGGCGGACGGGUGAGGAAUACAUCGGAAUCUACUUUUUCGUGGGGGAUAACGUAGGGAAACUUACGCUAAUACCGCAUACGACCUACGGGUGAAAGCAGGGGAUCUUCGGACCUUGCGCGAUUGAAUGAGCCGAUGUCGGAUUAGCUAGUUGGCGGGGUAAAGGCCCACCAAGGCGACGAUCCGUAGCUGGUCUGAGAGGAUGAUCAGCCACACUGGAACUGAGACACGGACCAGACUCCUACGGGAAGCAGCAGUGGGGAAUAUUGGACAAUGGGCGCAAGCCUGAUCCAGCCAUAGCGCGUGGGUGAAGAAGGCCUUCGGGUUGUAAAGCCCUUUUGUUGGGAAAGAAAAGCAGCAGGUUAAUACCCCGCUGUUCUGACGGUACCCAAAGAAUAAGCACCGGCUAACUUCGUG